This 3188-nucleotide long non-coding RNA is filed under the name Phocoena sinus (vaquita). RNAcentral's name for it is "lncRNA (ENSPSNG00000012255.1)". Lineage: Eukaryota; Metazoa; Chordata; Mammalia; Artiodactyla; Phocoenidae. The record is from RNAcentral.
AUUCUCAUCCCUUUUUUUAAUAUACUGCAGUGGGUCUCUGGGGGGGCCAGUGCUUACCUGCGGGUUUCGUCCCCAGAGCAAGGUGUGUCCCCUCUGGGCACGUGGGAAGGAGGCAGAGCCCCCAGCUCAGGGCUGAGGCAGCCGCUGGGGCAGAGGGAUUUGCUUUGCCCCCUGAGAGUCGAGCUGCAGGAAGGCGCAUUCAGGCUCCAGCAAUGGUAGCCUCAAAUGUUGACUCAGCACCCACGCUCCCCCUUCUGCCUACAGCGAUGCAGUGAUGGCAGGUCUGUGUUAACCCCUCAGGUGCACAGCACCCAGCAGUGCAUAAAGGGCUCUCCCCAUUAACUGGGGUCACUGCUACCCUGUGAGGCAUUUAACAUGUGGGGAAAAGGAGACUCAGAGAGGGAAAGUAGCUUGUCUAAGUUAACACAGCCCAUAAGCAGAGGAUGCUCUAGAGCCAGUGCUUUGGCUCUACAUGGCCUUGCUGUCACCCUGGGAGAAAGCAAAUCCUGACCUCUCGGGACAUGGAGCCGGAGCUCCUGGUCGUCCGCACUGCCUCCACACAGAUAAGAACACCCGCACACACACUCCCACACUCCACCCCUAUCUAGCCCCUGCCCUUGACAGGAGCGGGGGUCUUGCUCACAUAGCGCAGACCCUCAGUGAGAUUGCUGUUACUCAGUUCCCCUUCCUUUCCCUCCCACCCACCUACCACCGUACCAUGCAUGUUAAAUGCAGUGGAAGAAAGAGAAGAAUACCACCCAGCAGCAUGAAAGGCAUGGCUUCCAUCCACUGAAGGAGGUGCAAGGGAUCCAGAGAGAGCACAAGUGUCAGCGCCUUCGCCAAGCACACGUCAGUCUGCCUGCCAGUGGUCUGAGCACAAUGGAAUUUCGGUGACCAUCGUCCCCAGCAGGAGGGGGCUGAACCGAGUUUGAACAUCACCAGCACUGCCAGGCCUUCCACGAUGCUUCAGACUCACCGUUCACAUUAGAGACAGAGGCCCAGCGAGGAGAGAGGACUUGCCCCGGCCGCCUGUCAAGCCAGGGCAGGGCAGGACUAGAAUCCGUGCCCCUUUAGGUGGCUGCUGUGGAUUUUUGUGGGUUGUGGCCAAAGCUGUUUCCUUGGCAUCUACUUCCUGCCCAGUCCAACUCUUGGGUCAGCCUCCCGAGUCCUCGUCUCAGUCCGGGCAGCCCGAGACCCUCCCAUCCAUGGAUCCCACAGGCCCGUCCACCUCAUGGUUGCCUCAUUGCCUGUGGCCUGGGUCUAGUCUCCAAAGCCUCAAUCCUGACCUUUUACCCGCUUUGCGUUUUCCAAAACAUCCUUUAAGGCAGGAGUACCUGGAAUGAUUCACGCUUUCCUCUUUAUUUAUUUAUUUUUCUGGUGAGUGAGAAGAUGAGUGAGGAGUUGGCACUUAUCCAAACAGAGGUGCUGAAGGAGACUGGAUCCCAAGGAUCCAGUUAGACGUUGGGGACGAGGAAGGCUGCCCAUGGAGCCGGGGGUGGGGUGGAUUUUGCAUUAGUGCCUCGUCCUCCAGCAAGUGCAGAUUCCCACAGGGCCCUUCCUGAGGCCUCAGGUGGGGCAGUGCAGGAGCCCACAACCCUUCUCAGUGGACAGUCUUCAGAGCAGACCUCUCCUCAGAAGAGGCUCUGCCUGUGGUCUGAGGAAAACCGAGGCUGCUUCGCCCUCUGGUCUUGCCUUUGCUCUUUUAAGGGAUUCCUGGGCCCUCCCUCCUUCCCCUGUCUUCGUCUUCCUGAAGUUUCCCUGGGAGGCCCAACCGGCAGCUCCCCAUUGGGACUGAGGACGGCAGAGGAGCCAGCUUACAGGAUGGGAGCUGCUAAAAGGAAUUUUUUUCCUUAAUUUUAUGAACCUCUCCCUCUUCUUCCUCUAAUUGUGACCGUUUCCUCUGUCGGCGUGUAUUCAUGUUUUCUUGGACAUCUAACAAUUGAAACGGCUUUUCCCUUUCAGAAACACUCACAUUCAGGUUACUGGCGUUGGUUGGGGUUUUGUUUUGGCUUUUUUUUUUUCAUCUGCUGCCAAUUAAUGGGGGGAAAAAAUGAGCUGGAUUUCUUUGAGGGAAAAAAAAAAAGCUCCCUGCCACACAAUAUCUCGCCUCAGCAUUUUGUCUCAGAACACAACCUCUAGCCCCUAACAGGCUGCGUUGCUCAGAGCCACAGGACUGUCGGGUUUUUUCCCCUUUCUUUCCCUCCGUCGCUGGCUUCAUUAUUGACCAUAAUGCCCCGACCACUUCAGCAGUAAUGUCCUUGAGCACUGAGGAGUCAGGGCCUUUUGGGCAGUGCCCCGACCGCCCCAGAACAAGAUGACAGCCCAGAAAGAAAGGAGGCUUUGUGGGGAGAGAUGGCCCACCUGCCUGUCAGGAGAGAGGCUCACAGAACACCUCUUCUAAAGAAAAUGGUAAAAAGGCUCCUCUUCAGGAAACUCAGCCAAUCCCAGCUGAGCUGUGCCUCCCCUCCCAGGGCAGUUCCAGGCUGGUGCCCCUCAGUGGCGAGUGGGUGAGCAGAGGGGAAUCAUGGUUUAACUUCCAGGAAGGGCCUGGCGUCAACAGGUGGAGCCCUUGGCAGACGCUCUGCUUCUCCUACAGUCACAGGACCCGGAGAUUGGCUUUUUAAGAUUUGGAACACCGAGCUCUGGCUGGCUUCAGGGAAGUGCUUGCUGUCACUUGACCAAGGGCCCAGCAGGGACAGACAUCCGGGCUUACCAUGUGCUCUCACAGACCCCAGGGACAGUGCGUGCAAAAGUGGGCAGACAGGGCAGGCUGGCAUUUGGAGUUGGCCCAUCGAUGCUCAUGAAGGGUCCUGGCUGGAUCAGAUGGUCAUCCAGCAAACUGCCAUGUCAUCCAGCAAACCGAUACCUUCCAGAAUUGAUUACCAGCAAAGACAAAUGGGGCAAGUUGUCCGGUGGAGCCAGCACAGCCCGGGGCUGUAGAUGCAGGAGCACCUUCCAGAACCCCCCAGAGACCCACUCAGGUAUCCCCUAGGCACUGACAGCCCCCAGCCCCUCCCCUUUCCUCAGGGCUGUUGUGUCACUGCCAGGAGCCUUGGGACUGCCACCUACUGCGAAAAAGUGUCCUGUAAAGAUCUACUGAUACAAUAAUUCUGUGCGAUAAGCUGGAUAAGCUGUAUAAUGUAUAUUUAAUGUGAAGCUUUUAAUAUACAAGUGUCUUGUUUAAAUGU